RNAcentral lists this ribosomal RNA (467 nucleotides) under uncultured bacterium. RNAcentral's name for it is "partial 16S ribosomal RNA". It matches the Rfam family "Bacterial small subunit ribosomal RNA", at positions 28 to 507 of the family's 1533-position model. The record is from RNAcentral.
GACGAACGCUGGCGGCGUGCUUAACACAUGCAAGUCGAACGGAAAGGCCUCUUUCGGGGGGUACUCGAGUGGCGAACGGGUGAGUAACACGUGAGUAACCUGCCCUUGACUUUGGGAUAACUUCAGGAAACUGGGGCUAAUACCGGAUAGGAGCUCCUGCUGCAUGGUGGGGGUUGGAAAGUUUCGGCGGUUGGGGAUGGACUCGCGGCUUAUCAGCUUGUUGGUGGGGUAGUGGCUUACCAAGGCUUUGACGGGUAGCCGGCCUGAGAGGGUGACCGGCAACAUUGGGACUGAGAUACGGCCCAGACUCCUACGGGAGGCAGCAGUGGGGAAUAUUGCACAAUGGGUGGAAGCCGGGUGCAGCAACGCCGUGUGCGGGAUGACGGCCUUCGGGUUGUAAACCGCUUUCGCUCAUGACGAAGCUUUGUGUGACGGUAGUGGGUAAAGAAGCACCGGCUAACUACGUG